RNAcentral lists this long non-coding RNA (2076 nucleotides) under Nothobranchius furzeri (turquoise killifish). RNAcentral's name for it is "lncRNA (ENSNFUG00015001237.1)". Lineage: Eukaryota; Metazoa; Chordata; Actinopteri; Cyprinodontiformes; Nothobranchiidae. The record is from RNAcentral.
AUGGAGAAUGUACUCCUGUGGUACAGAAAACGUACUCCUGUGGUACAGAGAACGUACUCCUGUGGUACGGAGAAUGUACUCCUGUGGUACAGAAAACGUACUCCUGUGGUACAGAGAACGUACUCCUGUGGUACAGAGAACGUACUCUUGUGGUACGGAGAACAUACUCUCCGGUGGUACGGAGAACAUACUCCUGUGGUACGGAGAACGUACUCCUGUGGUACAGGGAACGUACUCCGGUGGUACGGAGAACAUACUCCUGUGGUACGGAGAACAUACUCCUGUGGUACAGAGAACAUACUCCGUUGGUACGGAGAACAUACUCCUGUGGUAUGGAGAACAUACUCCGGUGGUACGGAGAACAUACUCUCCGGUGGUACAGAGAACGUACUCCUGUGGUAUGGAAAACGUACUCCGGUGGUGCGGAGAACAUACUCCGGUGGUACGGAGAACGUACUCCUGUGGUACAGAGAACGUACUCCUGUGGUAUGGAGAAUGUACUCCUGUGGUACAGAAAACGUACUCCUGUGGUACAGAGAACGUACUCCUGUGGUACGGAGAAUGUACUCCUGUGGUACAGAAAACGUACUCCUGUGGUACAGAGAACGUACUCCUGUGGUAUGGAGAAUGUACUCCUGUGGUACAGAAAACGUACUCCUGUGGUACAGAGAACGUACUCCUGUGGUACGGAGAAUGUACUCCUGUGGUACAGAAAACGUACUCCUGUGGUACAGAGAACGUACUCCUGUGGUACAGAGAACGUACUCUUGUGGUACGGAGAACAUACUCUCCGGUGGUACGGAGAACAUACUCCUGUGGUACGGAGAACGUACUCCUGUGGUACAGGGAACGUACUCCGGUGGUACGGAGAACAUACUCCUGUGGUACGGAGAACAUACUCCUGUGGUACAGAGAACAUACUCCGGUGGUACGGAGAACAUACUCCUGUGGUAUGGAGAACAUACUCCUGUGGUACGGAGAACAUACUCUCCGGUGGUACGGAGAACAUACUCCUGUGGUACGGAGAACGUACUCCUGUGGUACGGGGAACGUACUCCGGUGGUACGGAGAACAUACUCCUGUGGUACGGAGAACAUACUCCUGUGGUACAGAGAACAUACUCCGUUGGUACGGAGAACAUACUCCUGUGGUAUGGAGAACAUACUCCUGUGGUACGGAGAACAUACUCUUCGGUGGUACGGAGAACAUACUCUCCGGUGGUACAGAGAACGUACUCCUGUGGUAUGGAAAACAUACUCUCCGGUGGUACGGAGAACAUUCUCUGGUGGUACGGAGAACAUACUCCUGUGGUACGGAGAACGUACUCCGGUGGUACGGAGAACAUACUCCUGUGGUACGAAGAACGUACUCCUGUGGUACGGAGAACAUUCUCUCCAGUGGUACGGAGAACGUACUCCUGUGGUACGGAGAACAUACUCCGGUGGUGCGGAGAACAUAGUCCAGUGGUACGGAGAACAUACUCCAGUGGUACGGAGAACGUACUCCUGUGGUACGGAGAACAUACUCCUGUGGUACGAAGAACGUACUCCUGUGGUACAGGGAACGUACUCCGGUGGUAUGGAGAACAUACUCUUGUGGUACGGAGAACAUACUCCUGUGGUACAGAGAACAUACUCCGGUGGUACGGAGAACAUACUCCUGUGGUAUGGAGAACAUACUCCUGUGGUACGGAGAACAUACUCUCCGGUGGUACGGAGAACAUACUCUCCGGUGGUACAGAGAACGUACUCCUGUGGUACGGAAAACAUACUCUCCGGUGGUACGGAGAACAUACUCCUGUGGUACGAAGAACGUACUCCUGUGGUACGGAGAACAUACUCUCCAGUGGUACGGAGAACGUACUCCUGUGGUACGGAGAACAUACUCCGGUGGUGCGGAGAACAUACUCCGGUGGUACGGAGAACAUACUCCUGUGGUACGGAGAACGUACUCCGGUGGUACAGGGAACGUACUCCGGUGGUACGGAGAACAUACUCCGGUGGUACAGAGAAUGUACUCCUGUGGUACGGAAAACAUACUCUCCGGUGCUACGGAGAACAUACUCCUGUGGUAUAG